UAGUAAUAAUACAACAUUUCCCAUACAUUUUUUAUCCAUUCAUUGACAUCAACCAAAAUAGGCAGGGGAGAGCACUCGGUACAAAACCAUACAGAAAUUGAAGAAGCAACAUGGUAUUUCCUGAUACAGAGUUGGACGGAUGCUCUGGGAUUUUUAGAACUGAUGAGGAAAUCACAUUUAGAAUCAACUCGGAUUUUUAAAGGAGUUUCAAACUGUAAUAAGAAAGUUCAACAUAGCUCUCAGAUAGCCACUCUGUAGAUCAAAAAAACAUAAAGCAUCUUAAGUUACCAAACGAUAACAUUGGAAGGUUACGGUUUGACCUAUCUCAAAUGUAGAGGUGACAUUAAAUGGCCACAACUUUCAGUCGCUAGUUGGAAGCAAAGUCAUCUCAUCAGUGACUAAUCGGUUAGCAGAACUUCUGAAGAGAAAUGGAAGCAGAGUCACUAGCGCCUUCGCGCACCCCACAGUGAGAUCCCUGGCGAUUCACCUGGAAAUGGGGUCAGAAAGCUCAUGUCGCACUGCACCUGGGAAUUGGAGUACAGUUCCUCAAUGUAAAGAAGAUGCAUCACAAAAUUGAUAUUAUUGAGUAUUGACUUAGAUUUGACGUGUUCUAUUUGAUGAAACAUAUGAGAAAGUAUAUUGUGUCCAAGAAUCAACAGGAAAACAGUAAGAGAAACAUCUAAUACAAUCUGCAACUAGGUAGUACUCCUACAAACCAUGCUGGCUGAGUAAUAGCUAAUCUGCAACUACAUAGUACUCCUACAAACGCAAGCAACCGUCUCACCUUCACUGACAACUGCGGAGUCUGCUUGAAGUUGGAACUGCGGUUCAAGUCUCAGAAGCAACAUAGUUGGACUGAAGCUCUACGAAUUUUAGAACUUAUGAAAAAAUGUGCAGGCGGAGCACAUAUAUCAGUAAUAGUUAUAUCGAGAGGGUUUACUUCAACCCCUACAUUUUUCAAUCAGUAAUACUUAUAUCAGUACCUCGUUAUUCAUCAAUACUAGUACGACUCGACAAGAAGUGCAAAAUUGUAGCAGCACACAGAUUGAACUUACACAAUUUUUCUUUUGAAACAUAUUUUAGGUGAUAUAUCUAGUUUUGAAACAUGAACUGAUGAUAUUUUUUUGCACGCACUAUGCUAUCUAAAAAUUGGACGAACAGAAACUAGAAAUUGGACUGAAGUAAACCUAGAAAAUUGAGCAACAGUGCUUGCUAAAUCAUGGGAGCUCCUAGGCAUUUGAUCAAAUACAACCAACGCCUAGCACUGUCAGCACCACAUCUGCAGCUGCAGUAACGCCACCAACUGAACGGGCUCUGGUGGUGUUGUUGAACGGCCUAGGUGGCCAGGUUUGAACGAAACCUGCAAGAUGAACCCAAGGGGAGCUCCUUCACCUGCAAGAUGAACAGAAAAUGCACACUAAGGCGACCUGAAGAACCACCAGAUGUUGAACUGAAUAUACGCAAGAUAAGGAGGUGAACGUCAAGGGGGAGGUGGGGAAAAGCUAGCACCUCCCGAGCUGCGGCGUAGAACGGCUUAGCGCUAUGUUGUAGAACCAUCAACGUUGAACCUGUUGAGUUCUGAUUUUUGAACCUUUGCAGUAGUAAUACAUGUACUGGGCGGUACAUGCUUCUGUUGUUGAGCAGCUGACAUACAGAAACAAAAACACUCAUGGGUGGACACACAAAAUCAUGAUAAAAAUAGUGGCAGCAAGAAGCAAUCAGAAGUGAAUAUGCAGUAGUACUAUAAUGGAAUAUUAGUCAGGAUUGAAGUUCAGAUAACUAUGGCACACACAUCAUACAAUAAUUUUGAACUUACAUAAUCCUGAAACAGGAACUUCAUUUUUUUGAAUUAGCAAUUCUGAAUGUACUAGCGAUCUAAUUGAAUUUUUUAGACCAUAGUAAUUGAACUUCAAGCACAUUUCAUUAUAAAACAUUUAUUUUUUCUAUUUGCACAAUAAUUAUGUCCUUGUCAGUACGACUCAUCAGAAUUGUAGACGACAUCCUUGUCAGUACGACUCAUCAGUACAAGGGCUCUUUUUUCCAAAAAAAAUGUGUGAGAAUAGAAGCAUUUUUCCUAUAUGGAUGUUACUUUUAAUGUAAACCUUUCUUACCAUGGCAAAUAAUGUAACAAUAGGCAAUGAGAGAUACCUUCACAGGUGAACAUACAGUUGCAAGAUCACGAGUAACAUGAAGUAAAUUUUUCACGAAAAUUUUGUGAACAAAAUACAUUAUUAAACUUAGUGCAGAAACAAAAAUUUAAGAUAAUGGCGCCGGCCACGCGACUAGAGAUGUCGCGUGCGCCUGGAUAUUAAGCUAAUGGCCCAUCAUUACACUCAUUUGUAUGUAAAGCACUCGUUCGACACGAGCUCCUUUGAGGAAGCUUGCAUGGUCUAGAGAAAACAAGUUUUUUGUAUGUAAAGCACUGUACAGACAUUUUGUGCAUAAUAUAUACUGCAUGAGCUGAUCACAUACUCCAUAUACUACUAGAACGGAGUAGCUAGUACUACAGUAAUAAUAAAUAUACAAGAAAUGAAUGGUUUUACUUCUCCCUAAUACCGAAACACACAUUUGAAUCUAAUCCUACAAGCCUGCAAUAUGAACCGAAAAAGCCAACAAGAUGAGCUGAAAAAACCUACAAACCUGUUGAUUUGUUUUUGUAAGUACAUGUGCUAAACUGAUAUAGUUUUAGUCAAUGACCUGUUGUAAAAUAAGUAAUAGUACUACUACUGGCUUUUACAUAUUUCACUAAACAAAUCAAACAAAGUUAAGAACAGGCAGACGACUGCAUAAGUACUAGAACUGCUAUUGUUUUUGUAUAUGGUCUAGAAUAAUCAAACCUUUUGUCAUAUCUACUUCAAACCUGUUGUAACAACCACUUCCGAUAUAGAAGGUCGCCUUUCCAUAUGCGGGCGCUAGGAGCGGUGAAAACCCUAGCCGAGGGUGAGGGGAGAGGGAUGGUGCGCUCUGGCGAUUGCCCUGGCGACUCGCCUACGGCCGUGGCUCCGCCCGCGGUGGCCGGCGCGCUUAGCCCCGCCGUCCCUGAGCCGUGCCCGCCCCCUCCACCGUCGCCGGAGACGCUCCCCUCACCCUCGGUCGCUGUGCUCCUGGCCGCCCCGCCGAGGAUUCGGUGGACCAACCUCGCCGAAGACAACGCCGAUUCCCCCCUCGUCUGCCCCUCUGAUGCUCGUUCGGCAUGGCCCUCCCCAUCCUCUCUGCGAGCCGCGCCACCCUGCGUGGCUGGCAGCUUAGCCUCCCAUGUGCGAGGCUCGGCUGUUAGCUCGCGGCGGCCGCUGCGCUCUACCCUGGCGCCUGGGCCGCAAGACACUGUCUUGCGGGGCCGCGGUGCUCGACGACGUAGGCUGCGUGCCUGGGGCGUGGCUGGCCGCUCGGAGAUGGGCUUGGCCAGUGCGUCUUGGCGCCGGUCGGUGGCGGGAUCUCCCCUCUCGCCGGCGCCGCGCCCGCGGUCAGCUUGCCGUGCGAAGUUUCUUGCCGGCCCGCUCGUGCACUCCUCCCCCUUUCGCCCCUUCAUCGCCAACUUUGGUUCGUGAACACUCGCUCUCCGUCCGUCUCAGCCCCCUAGCCGGACCUGGCUGGCCUCCCCCGACGUCCUCGCGCCGGCGGCGGCGGCGAUGGUCGCCUGUGGAGGGGAAACCCUGUCGGCAACCACCCCGCGCCCCUCCCCUGGGCCCUGUCGCGCGUGGGCGUGGCCUGCUGGGCCCGUGCCCGGCCCAGCGGCCCGUUGCCCUAGCUGGGCCUCCCGCCUGCAGCUUGGGCUGGCCUGGCCAUGUUGGGCUGCUGUGGUGCCCUAGGCCCGUUAUGGCGGCCUCUGGAAUCUGGCCCCCUUAUGGGUUUCCGCUUGCAUCCGCUCCCCUCUCCGCUGCCACAUCUGUUUCCCCUCUCGCCUCCCCGCAUGCUCCCUCCGCUGCUCCAUCCCCGCCGCCCGCGCCGUCCUCUUGCACCCCGACCUCCCCCCCUCCCCCCUCCCCCUGACCCGUCCGGCCAUGACCCGGGAAUGGGAUGAUGGGGAGGCUCGCCGGAAACAUCGUUAUGAGGACCAACCCCGCCCGUCCCCGGACGCGGUCCGCCGGGAGGAGGAGCUCCGGCGGGAGCUCCGUGCUCUUCGGGAUGGCCACCGUGAUGACCGCCGUUCCCCUGGCCGCUCGGACCGGCACGGCUGCUCCCGCUCUCCUCCCGGCGCCGGGGCCGAUUGGCGCGGGCGACGUCGUUCGCCCUCCCCACGCCGUGGCCGCUCCCCCUCGCCUUCGCGCCAUCUUCGCCCUCCGUCCCCCCGCCCACAAGCCCAGCAGCCUCCCGCGGCGGCCCGGAAAUAUGUUCCCCCGCAUGCCUCCUCCGCGGCCGGGUUGGGUGCGGGUGCCGCUCCCGCCCGUGGCCGCCAAGGUCAAGCGAAGAAGAAGAAGCGUCGUGGGCAGGGUCACGGCAUCUUGCCCACUCCCGCUCCGCUAGGCCCGGGCUCCUUGUCCGCUCCAGGUCCGGUGUCCGGUCUCCCUCGGGGUGUCGGAUCACUCCCAAGUCUCCUGCGUCAACCCUCAGUGCUGCUAUAUCUGCAAGGACCCAGGCCACCCCGCCCUUCUGUGCCCGGAUCGCCCCGUACCGGCCGAGCUCAUGAUGUACGGUCAUGGUAUCGAGGGGUUGGGCUUCUUCCACCUCGAGGUGCCGGACAUCCCUCCCCCACCCCGUCUCUCCAGGCGGUCGUCACGUUGGUGGAUGGAGUGGCCUCCCCAGAGAUGAUCGAGGAGGAGCUCAACCACCUGUACCGGCGCCAGUGGGACUGGGUGGUCACUCCCACCGCCGGCAACAUCUUCACUGUGAUCUUCCCCGACGCCAUCAGCUACGGCUACGCCACCCGCAGCGGCCAGAUCACCCUCGCCCUCCACCAGCUCGUCGUCGACAUCACUGAGCCGAUCCUGGACCCGAAGGUGGUGGCCGUCCUGGACACGGCCUGGAUAUUGGUGGGAGGCCUCCCAGACAUUGCUCGGUCUGAGGUGGUCAUUCGCCAGAUGUCCCGGAUCCUGGGCAAGGUGGUGGUGGUGGACGAGCUCUCCCUUCGCAAAGAGGAGGAGGUCCGCGUUAAGGUCAAAUCUCUGGACUCCUCCAAGCUUCGGGCCACCACCCGGGUGUUCUUCAACGGCCAGGGCUUUGACCUCCGGAUCGCCCCUGAGCCUCCCAACCACGUCGGGCGUCCUCGCUUCUCCGAUGACGGGCCCCCCGGUGGCAACCCUGGGGUCGACGGCGACUACCAUGGCCGCCACCACCCACGCUCUCACCGCUCCCACCGAUCUGAUGAUGAUGCGGGCUCCGGCGACUCGUGCUCCCGCUCUCUGUCACCGUCGCCUCCUCCCCCCGUUGUUGGACCCCAGGGCCGUCAGGCUUUGCUCGGCCCCCCUCCUAGCUCUCCGCUUCCCCGGGACGCCUCCCUUGUGCCGGGCAGCGAGACCAUGGAUGGGAGCGACACGUCGAGCGUCGGCCUGGUGGUCCUCCCGGCGUCCUCUCCUCGCUCCCAGCAGUCGUCGGCUGCUCCAUGCCGGCUUUGGAGGGGUCGCCGCCGUCUCCCUUGGGCCCCUUGGCCCCCUCUGAGGUCGUCCCGUCCCCGACCAGGGUGGAUGGCACAGUGACCUCCCCACCGGUCCCGGUUGCCAUCGUUCCUCUGGGUCCCUCCGCCCCGGCCGGGUUGGCUCCGCUGGCGACGCCCGUCAUCUGGCCCGCCUCGCCGGCGAUGCUCGCCCUGGGCCUUAGCCUCGUGCUCGCCCCCGCCGCCAUCCCCCCGGCUCUGUCUCCGACCUGGCGCUCUACCCCUCGUCCCCGACUGCUCCGCUGCCCUCUUCCUCGCUCCUCGACUGCAUCGGGCUGGUGCUCCGGCCUGCCCCCGCUGCGGCCCCUGAGGUGGAGUGAGAGACGCGGGUGACCACCCCGAUGGCUACUCAGCCUCCCCCUCCGCGGACCGCGGCCUACUCCCGUCGUGGCCGGUCUGCCUCCUCCCCGGUGACGGCUUCCCGCCGGAGCGCCUGGCUCGACGCUGCGCGUCCCGAAGGCAGUCCGGCUCUGCCCAUUCCCGCCCGGGCGAAGCUCCGGGCUACAGCUCGGAACCUGGAGCCAGGUACCCCCCCUGUCCCCCCUUCUACUGCUACUUGCUCGUUUUCUGCUCUCGAGUCGGUGCCUCUUGGUCACCUCGCAAAGGUGGUGACUGAUUCCGCGAUAAUCUUCAGGGGGAGGCUGCUCCCCCCUUAGUCCAAAUCGAGGCCAUCAAGGCCCGUGAGAUCCUCGACGGUAGGCUAGCGGAGGCCCGCGCGGCUCUGCUCUCGCCUGCUAACCCCUCCCCUUUUGUGGUAGUCGCCUCCCCAGCACCACCUAGACGGCCCAGCGGCCUCCUCCACCUCGCCGCGGCCGAGCAUCGUGGUCGUACGCGGUCCCGCACCGCCGCCCUCCGCGCCCAAAGCACAUCCCGUGUCCUGGGGUCAAGAAGCCCCCCAAUGGCGCCUUAAUGCGGGCCCUUUUCUGGAACAUCCGCGGUUUCGGCCAUGAUGUCCGACGCCGCCAACUCGUGGAAUACAUGCGUGAUGAACACAUUGACAUUGUCGCCAUCCAAGAAACCAUGCGUACAAAAUUUUCUCUCCCGGAGCUUGACCGUCUGAGCUCUCACCUCUUUGCUUGGCAUUGGCUCCCUUCUAGUGGGAGCAUAGGCCACUCGGGUGACAUCCUGUUAGGCGUCAAGGAUGCCACCUUCGAGGUGGGGAGCAUGGAUCGGAGGCAAUUCUUUGUGAGCAUGGACUCUUCGAACGGUCGCUCAACUUCAAGUGGGAGAUCAUCAUUGUCUACGGCCCGGCCGACCAUAGUAGGUCUGCGUCCUUCCUCGAGGAGAUCCACCGGAAGAUUUCGGCGGCCUCUCUCCCAGUGGUCCUUGGAGGCGAUUUCAACCUCCUCCGCUUCGUGGAGGACAAGAGCAACGCGAACGUUAACUUUGCACGAAUGCAAAUGUUUAAUGAUUGCAUUGCUGACCUUGGCCUCCGCGAGAUUGAUAGGAUUGGUGUCAGGUUUACCUAGACCAAUCGCCAGGCCUCCCCGACCAAGUCCGUUCUGGACAGGGUCCUAGUUUUCCCUGGAUUGGGACCUCCGUUGCCCUCUAGCCUCCCUUCGUGCCAUCACCGGGAUUGGAUCCGACCACGUCCCCUCCUCCUCUCCUCCGCCGACGAGCGACCGCCGAUUCCUCCUAGAUUCAGCUUUGAGACAUUCUGGCUAUCCCAAACCGGUUUUGUGGAGGCUGCUGGCGCCCGCUGGGUGGAGGCCCGUGGCCACCCCCACCCCCGCCCUCCUUCGGCUAUUGACUCUUGGCAUUUCUGCACCAAGCGUGGCCGGCAGUUCAUGAAGGGUUGGGGUGCUAACUUGGGGCAUGACCUCCGCGAGCGUAAGAAGGCCUUGUUGGCCGCCAUCCAAGCCUUGGACUUGCGGGCUAACUCAAUCGGUCUCUCCCGGGACGAGUGGCUCUCUCGCUACGAUUUAGAAGACCAGCUUUCCGUCAUCUACACUGAUGAGGAGGCGUAUUGGCGCCUCCGCGGGGCCCAGAAAUGGGUCUUGAAGGGCGACGCAAACAUGGCCUACUUUCAGGCCAUCGCGAACGGCCGACGUAGACGCAACACCAUCCCCCUCCUCUGGGAUGGUGCCUCCCUAUUGCAAGAUCCCCGCGACAUUUGUAGCCAUGUCGACGAUUUCUACAGGUCCCUGUUCUCUGCCGCUCCUAGGAGCGGCCUCUCCAUGGCGACUGAUUGCUGGACCGAUGCCCAGCUGGUUUCUGAUGAGGAAAACGCGGCCCUCACGGCCCUGUUCUCCGAGGGCGAGGUCUGGACCGCGAUUCGAGGUAUGAAUCCCACCUCCGCUCCGGGCCCCGACGGCCUUCCGGUUAAAUUCUUCCAGGCCUUCUGGAACGUGAUUAAACCUGAGGUCAUGGCCAUCUUUGAUGAGUUCUAUGUUGGAUCCAUCGACCUUGGGCGCCUCAACUAUGGGAUUAUCUAGCUCAUCCCGAAGGUCCCGGGUGCCUCCGACAUCCGCCAGUUUCAUCCAAUCACGGUCAUCAACGUGAUCUUCCGGAUUCUGGCUAAAGGGUACGCCAAUAGGGUGACCCUCCUCACUGACCAUGUUACCCACCCCAACCAGUCCGCCUUCAUUCAGGGGCGGUACAUCCUGGAUGGGGUGCUUGUUCUUCAUGAAGUCCUCCAGCCUCCUCUUGUUUCUUAUGAACUUCUACAGCCUUCACGAGACUCUGCACCAUGAGAUCGCCAAAAUCCAGUCCCGCUUCUAUUGGGCUGGCGACAACAAUAAGCAGAAAUAUCAUAUGGUCAGCUGGCCUGACAUCUGCAAGCCCAGGGAACAAGGCGGCCUCGGUAUCCCGCUGGCUCUGGCGCAUCUCGCACGGCCAGGGUGGUCUCUGGCUCGAUAUCAUCUGGAACAAGUACCUGCAUGGACAACCCUUUGCCUUUUGUCAGAGAACUGGCGGCUCGCAGUUCUGGCAGUCGAUCGUCCAGCUUCUCCCGGCCCUUCGCAUCGGGACUUCCAUCUUGGUGGGGUCCGGCACGGAGACUUUGUUUUGGUUUGACCGGUGGGCCGGAGACUCCCCCUUCGCUGCGCGCUUCCCCGUCCUCUUCUCCAUAGUGGUAGACCCCUUGAUCUCAGUUGAGAGGGCCCUUAUUGACUUAGGGCGCCUUGCUUUCCGGAGGCCCUUUGGUCCCCCGGAAUACGCCGCUUGGCGUGAGUUACUAGAUUGCGUGGCUCUCCACGAGCCUGUGGGGGACGGUGGCCCGAACCAGGUGAGAUGGCGGCUCGAGCCUUCGGGCCAAUUCUCCACUAAGUCUCUCAACCAUGCCAUCGCCCCCUCCUUCGCCCCUCCCCCCCUUGCGACGGUGUGGUCCAUCCGCUUGCCUCUGAAAAUCCGGAUCUUCAUGUGGCAGUGGAUUCACGGGCGGCUUCCGUCGGGCGUUGAGGUCCGCAAGCGUAAUGGCCCGGGCUCUGGCCUUUGCCCACUUUGCGCCACCCCCGAAGACUCGAACCACAUCUUCUUUUCCUGUGUGUCUGUGCAAUUCGUGUGGAGAUGCUUCCGCGAGGUGGUGGGUGGAAAUUGGUGCCACACCAACUUCCCCGACCUGUAUACGGAGCUCCAGUCCUCCCCCUUGGCAUCUCGCCACAUUAGGUGGCUUGAGAUUGGGGUCAUCGCUUGGACCCUCUGGACGAUCCGUAAUAAGCUUGUGAUCCAGAGUGCUCCUCUUCGAUGGGCUACUGACGCUAUCUUCAAACUGUCUGGUUUCUUGCAGCUUUGGCGGCCGCUUAGCCGCCCUGAUGACCGUGACGCCAUCUCUGCCUUCAUCGCCGACCUUCACUCGAUGGUCAUCCGUCUGUCUCCUCCGCCCCCGCCGCCACCGUCGGAACCCGACUAGAUGCUUGUUGGGCCCUCCGGCUCUUUUCUUUUAGUUGUUUUUGGGCUUGUUGAGUUGUGCCCUCAGCAGAACCUUCGUACUUGUGUGUGAGACUUGGGUGCGUGUGUUUGAACUAGUCCAUGCAUGUGUGCUCUGUGGCGGUUUGCUUUAUUUAUAAAGCGGGGUGAAAGCCUUUUUCGGUAACAACCGCUUCCACUCUGUGAGAGCUUGUAGUACCCAAACAAUCACUUUGGAAAAAAUAAGCUUCCCAACCUAAAUUUUUACUGAAAGAAAAAGGCACCAUAACCUCAAUUGUAAGAUAUUUCAAAAGCCUUACAACAAUGAAGAAACCUGAAACCAGAGGUGGCAUUUAAUUGUACGAGUUGUGGUCAACUAACUGCGGAUGCAUCAGACAUAUGGCGACUAAACUACACACGUUGAAGCUAACUCGGCCACGGUGGCAAGACAAUUCAGAAGUAUGCGCACAUCGUUCAUUGAAUAUAGGGUAUGCAAAUGGGAUAGCAGAGAGCUAUAGUAAUGAUAAUUAACCUAGCUAGUAUAUGUUCAAACAAGUUGAAGUUUCUUUUAGUUGGUAACAACUUCAGUUCAGGUGUGUCCCACAGAAAAAUCCACAAUAUUUACAGAACAUCUAACAAAGAUCAUUCAAUACUGCCGCCUCUUGCUACUUUUUUCUGAGAGAAAUAUCUGAACCAAGACUAGUUCAACUAGCACAAGAAAACAAACUAGUUGUUGCAUCUACAAAAAUCUGAAAUGACCAUCUAAUAACUAAGUGACUUACAACUAGCACAUUUAAAACUGCUGCCUCCUGCUACUUUUUUCUUAGAGAAAAAUCUGUACUGAACAUCUAACAAAUAGCACACUUUGCAUCUUGCCUUUGUCUGUCGCAUCUGGUUGCAAAGAAAUAACAAAUUACGAGUACAAAGAAAUAACAUCCUCUUUUUUAUCGACUUUGAACUUCUAUAUUUUUUUCUCUGAGCUUACCUCUCUCGAGAACAGAACUGAUUAGUGUUACAAGUACACGAUACUUCACCAUACAGACUACACCAAUACUGAAAACUGAAGAAUAACUGAAGCACGAGAGAGAGACGAGCCUAAGUUCAUAGUACAACAAACAUAAGCUGCAAGCUCCAUGUUCCAGCUUGUAGAUAAUUUAUUUUAAUCAGAUUCCUCAGUCCAACAUUAAAGUAACACACAGGACCAAUCAUCACACAAAUCAUAAUACCAAUCCCUGCUGUCUUUUGUUGACUGAAGUACAGAUGUGCACGCAUACCUUGACAGUAGUCGGAGACGAGCAUGACAAGGUCCCGGCCACCACCCCGCUUCCGCCGCUGACGGCCAGCAAUGACGCCGCGGCGAGGAGGGAGUCCCAGUCUCCUAGCUCACGGACGAACGGGUUGGGCACCGGCGCUGGGAUCUCGGGGGUGGAAGGUGGACGAAUCUUAGGGAGGAAGGCGGCCGGAGCGUGGGGAGGAAGGAGACCGGAGGCGGGGGAGGGAGGAGGCCAGGGCGCGGCCAGGAAGGCGGCCGGAGCGCGGGGAGGAAGGCUACCGGAGGCGGGGGAGGAAGGAGGCCGGAGCACGGGGAGGAUGGCGGCCGGAGCGCGGUGCUGGGAGGAGGUCGUCACGCGAAGAGGAAGUUGACCGGAGGGCAGGGGAGGGAGGAGGCCACCGUGCAGGGUUUGGCGGCUGCCACCGAGGCGGCGGGGUUCAUGGGGAGUGACCGAGUGAGGCUCACGGCCUGUAACUUUCUGUUCUGUUUUUG
Molecule: long non-coding RNA, 11201 nt
Filed under: Triticum aestivum (bread wheat)
Lineage: Eukaryota; Viridiplantae; Streptophyta; Magnoliopsida; Poales; Poaceae
Description: long non-coding RNA (TAES_LNC005329)
Source: RNAcentral